This 543-nucleotide ribosomal RNA is filed under the name Triticum aestivum (bread wheat). Its description in RNAcentral is "partial small subunit ribosomal RNA". The record is from RNAcentral. Lineage: Eukaryota; Viridiplantae; Streptophyta; Magnoliopsida; Poales; Poaceae.
AUGUUAAUUAUUUUUCGGGACUCUAGCAACUAUCAGAAGCUUCGACGGAGGUUCACAAUGGAUAUAAUUGUUCCUGCAGUCGUAGGUGAUAUUGUCAACAGAGCUGUAUCCUUUGCCAUCAAGAAAUGCUUGCAGCUUCCAAACGUCGACAAGAAUCUGGAGCGGCUAAAUCAGUUGCUUCUAAGAGCCCAUACCAUCACCGAGGAGGCGGAGGGAAGGCUUAUCAACAAUCGAGAGAUGCUCCAGCAGCUGGGGAUAUUGAUAGAAGGGAUGCAGAGAGGCCACUAUAUGCUUGAUAACUUCAAAUGUCGAGCCCUUCAACAAGGGAGAGGGGAUGAGCAUGAGGUGAGUCACUUCUCUGGAUUAUCUAUGUUCAGUGCAGCAAAGUGUCUUCGUUCGUCCAAUAACUACAGAAAAUCAGUGCUCUUUGGCAGUAACAACAUAGAAGAUCUACAAGGUAUGAUUGCUACCCUAGAAAAGGCCAUUGCUGACUUGAAGGAGUUUGUUAUUUUUCUGGGGAACUAUCCUCCAAUCUGCCGCUAG